This 539-nucleotide ribosomal RNA is filed under the name uncultured bacterium. RNAcentral describes it as "bacterial SSU rRNA". It matches the Rfam family "Bacterial small subunit ribosomal RNA", at positions 8 to 526 of the family's 1533-position model. The record is from RNAcentral.
AGAGUUUGAUCAUGGCUCAGAAUCAACGCUGGCGGCGUGCCUCAGACAUGCAAGUCGAACGCGAAAGUUUCCUUCGGGAAACAAGUAGAGUGGCGCACGGGUGAGUAACACGUAGGUAAUCUACCUUUGGAUGGGGAAUAACAACCGGAAACGGUUGCUAAUACCGCAUAAUGCAGCGGCACCUAAUGGUGACAGUUGUUAAAGCGGGGGAUCGAAAGACCUCGCGUCUAAAGAGGAGCCUGCGGCGGAUUAGCUAGUUGGUAAGGUAAUGGCUUACCAAGGCUACGAUCCGUAACCGGCCUGAGAGGGCGGUCGGUCACACUGACACUGACAUACGGGUCAGACUCCUACGGGAGGCAGCAGUCGGGAAUUUUGGGCAAUGGGCGAAAGCCUGACCCAGCAACGCCGCGUGAAGGAUGAAAUCCCUCGGGAUGUAAACUUCGCAAGAACGGGAAGAAUAAGUAGGGGACAAUACCCCCUAUGAUGACGGUACCGUUUGUAAGCUCCGGCUAACUCCGUGCCAGCCGCCGCGGUAAUUC